AGCAUAUCAAUAAGCGGAGGAAAAGAAACUAACAAGGAUUCCCCUAGUAACUGCGAGUGAAGCGGGAAAAGCUCAAAUUUAAAAUCUGGCGGUCUUUGGCUGUCCGAGUUGUAAUCUAGAGAAGUGUUAUCCGUGCUGGACCGUGUACAAGUCUCCUGGAAUGGAGCGUCAUAGAGGGUGAGAAUCCCGUCUUUGACACGGACUGCCAGGACUUUGUGAUGCGCUCUCAAAGAGUCGAGUUGUUUGGGAAUGCAGCUCAAAAUGGGUGGUAAAUUCCAUCUAAAGCUAAAUAUUGGCGAGAGACCGAUAGCGAACAAGUACCGUGAGGGAAAGAUGAAAAGAACUUUGGAAAGAGAGUUAAACAGUACGUGAAAUUGCUGAAAGGGAAACGCUUGAAGUCAGUCGCGUUGUCCAGGGAUCAACCUUGCUUUUGCUUGGUGCACUUUCUGGUUGACGGGUCAGCAUCAAUUUUGACUAUUGGAAAAAGAUUAGGGGAAUGUGGCAUCUUUGGAUGUGUUAUAGCCCUUGGUUGCAUACAAUGGUUGGGAUUGAGGAACUCAGCACGCCGCAAGGCCGGGUUUUAACCACGUACGUGCUUAGGAUGCUGGCAUAAUGGCUUUAAUCGACCCGUCUUGAAACACGGACCAAGGAGUCUAACAUGCCUGCGAGUGUUUGGGUGGAAAACUCGAGCGCGUAAUGAAAGUGAAAGUUGAGAUCCCUGUCGUGGGGAGCAUCGACGCCCGGACCAGACCUUUUGUGACGGUUCCGCGGUAGAGCAUGUAUGUUGGGACCCGAAAGAUGGUGAACUAUGCCUGAAUAGGGUGAAGCCAGAGGAAACUCUGGUGGAGGCUCGUAGCGAUUCUGACGUGCAAAUCGAUCGUCAAAUUUGGGUAUAGGGGCGAAAGACUAAUCGAACCAUCUAGUAGCUGGUUCCUGC
RNAcentral lists this ribosomal RNA (937 nucleotides) under Cortinarius ignellus. RNAcentral's name for it is "LSU rRNA". It matches the Rfam family "Eukaryotic large subunit ribosomal RNA", at positions 37 to 961 of the family's 3401-position model. The record is from RNAcentral. Lineage: Eukaryota; Fungi; Basidiomycota; Agaricomycetes; Agaricales; Cortinariaceae.